This 476-nucleotide ribosomal RNA is filed under the name uncultured bacterium. RNAcentral's name for it is "bacterial SSU rRNA". It matches the Rfam family "Bacterial small subunit ribosomal RNA", at positions 29 to 507 of the family's 1533-position model. The record is from RNAcentral.
AUUGAACGCUGGCGGCAUGCUUUACACAUGCAAGUCGAACGGUAACAGGUUAAGCUGACGAGUGGCGAACGGGUGAGUAAUGCAUCGGAACGUGCCCGAUCGUGGGGGAUAACGCAGCGAAAGCUGCGCUAAUACCGCAUACGAUCUGAGGAUGAAAGCGGGGGACCGUAAGGCCUCGCGCGAUCGGAGCGGCCGAUGUCAGAUUAGGUAGUUGGUGGGGGUAAAGGCUCACCAAGCCAACGAUCUGUAGCUGGUCUGAGAGGACGACCAGCCACACUGGGACUGAGACACGGCCCAGACUCCUACGGGAGGCAGCAGUGGGGAAUUUUGGACAAUGGGGGAAACCCUGAUCCAGCAAUGCCGCGUGAGUGAAGAAGGCCUUCGGGUUGUAAAGCUCUUUGUCAGGGAAGAAACACCGGCUCUAACACAGUCCGGGAAUGACGGUACCUGAAGAAUAAGCACCGGCUAACUACGUG